This is a long non-coding RNA of Rhineura floridana, 1486 nucleotides long. RefSeq lists it as uncharacterized. The record is from RefSeq and is a predicted model, not a curated record. NCBI's taxonomy places the organism in Eukaryota, Metazoa, Chordata, Lepidosauria, Squamata, Rhineuridae. The transcript is spliced from 4 exons.
UCUUUCUUUCUGAGAUGUUUCUGGUCUCCCCCUUAUUUCUCAUCACUACUGCCUUUCCUUUCCUUUCCUGCCUCCUCCACGACUGAUGAUCUAAUAGUGGGCCAGGAGAGAAGUCUUUUCUGGCAAUUAUCCAUGCUUUCCAAACAGGAUCAGUCUCAGCAAAAUGGCUUGAGCUAUCCUGCACAUCAACCCAUUGCAGGUUUUGGGUUAUGUUUUCAAAGUUCCCUGCAACCAAAAGCCAAGUGAUGGAAGACCUUGUACAAAACAAGAAAACCUGUAUUUAUUUUUCAAAAUGUUCCAGUCUUUGUCGGCCAGAGAAAGGUGAUACCCCCAGACUCUUUGAGCUAAUGACCGUGUUUACCUUUAAGCCAUAACAGAGCAAUUCUGGUGCAAGCCUGAAGUUUUCUUGAAGAUAUAGUUGUGAUAAAUGCUUCAUUGGCAAUGACAGAAAUGUUAUUCUCAACCACCAGAGCCAUGGAGGUGCUGAAAGGAAUAGCAUGAACUCAAUUACAAUCUAUGUGGGGUGGCUGAUUCCUAUCUGGCGGAAGUGGCUAAAGAAUAAUUUUACAUAGAAAUUUGAUCCCUCGACAUCAAAAACCUAUAUUCAGAAAGCUGCAGCUAGCUGCAAAAAGCUUAAAUCAAAGAUUGGCAUCUCUGCUGACGUGAACAGACCUGCCUGCAAGGUGUUGACAACGGGCAGUAAUUAACCUCCUAAAAAAGCAGCAGGCAAAGAUUUGUACUUUCUAUCAGCCUCUGGUAGUUGCUUUACACCAUGUAGAAAUAAGUUUGUAAAUACUUGCCACUAAUCUAUGUGCCCCCAUGGUGCUCCUAUAAUGUAUGAGAAUAGUCAGUUACAUUCAUAUUUUUGUGUGUAUAUACCAUGUAUCAAUACCAUAGGAAUCUCCAGGGUCAAUCAUGAUUUCUGAUGGCAGGAGUCACCAAACUUUUUAGAUGCAAACUGGACAAACUGUUGUGGGCCACAGACACACACACGCAUGCAGGCAGGCAGACAGACAGACAGACCGACCGACCACAGCCUAUUGUCUUGGCCACAAUAGAAUGAUCAUUUCAGUCAUAAUUUCAGUCAAGGUAGGCAACCCUGCCAACACCAACAAAGACUUUAGUGGCUCCAUGAAGGUGCCACAUUGGUUACCCCUCUCCUAUGCAAUGCACCCAGUGUACAUUAACUUUCGUGUGUUAUGAGAAACAGUGUGUGCACACCCGGUAUUAGGCAAAUGUCUGCUGUUUUUAUAACCUGUGACGUCAGCCUUAUAAAAACUAGUGCUACUUUGUAUUUAAGGCAUCAGUUUAGGACUCUGGAGAGCUGGUGGGGAAGUGAAGGAGAUGACAGGAUCACAAAUGGAAGCAGGGAAAAGCCACAGCUGCCCUGUUUAUUCGCUGCUUUGGGGGAUUGAAAAACAUAACCAUGUCCUGUGGCAACCAUACUUGCAGGGUGGAUUUAUCAUAAGCACUUCUCUGUGACUAU